AACAAAGAUUGUCACACUUUUUACGGACAGCUAUUGGUAAGCUAACAAAUCAAACAGCUAGGAAGUUAAAUUAGCUGGCUACACAGCUACGUUCUGCCACAAA
Long non-coding RNA from Xiphophorus hellerii (green swordtail), 103 nucleotides. RefSeq lists it as uncharacterized. The transcript has 3 exons. Lineage: Eukaryota; Metazoa; Chordata; Actinopteri; Cyprinodontiformes; Poeciliidae. The record is from RefSeq and is a predicted model, not a curated record.